CUAGUAAUAGCAAGAGAAAAGUCAAGAAGAUUAUCAGAAUUCCUUUUAUUUCACUAAAAAGAUUUUCAAACCUAACAUGUAAUUUUAAUUCAUCACUUAAACCAACUUGACAUCAAUCCCUCAAACUUGAAAUCUGUUCUGUCCUCAAUAUCAUUUCAAAAUAAGCAUUAAAAUAAAAUAGAGAAUUCCAAUUUAGUAUCCUCAAUAAGCCUUAUAGAUGCUAAAAAUAGUUUAAAUUAAUUAAGUUAACUCAAAAUAUUUAUUUCUUUAAUAGUUUUAAUGGUUCAUCAGAAAUUUGAGCGAAGAUUUCUGUUUUCAACUGCUAUUUAACAGAUUCAAUAGGGGAAUCUUUGUUUCAUCAUAUUAAACCAUUAAUGACAUUAUAAACUUACAUUUUAAUUUAAACCUUGAAAAAAAAUAAGAGAAUAUUUACUUCUGAUUCAUUUUGUCCCAAAUAAAUUUUUAGUACUCCGUGAAAUACCAAUUAAGACAAAAAUCCAGAAUGGCGCCAAUUGUCAUGGAUGUGGCGCCAGAACAUGCAAUUUGAAGAAACCAUUCAGAGAAUGUUUUGAAGCAACAUCAAGAAUGGCAAUAUAGAAAAGAAGCAAGAAAUCCGUAUGGGAAAUACAAGUCAUACACCGAAAGAAAAUAGUAAAAACACGGUUUAAGUCAUGAAAUCUUUAAUGACAUUGCAAUUGUAUGCUAUCUAAAAAAAUAUAUAUGUAGGUAACAAGUUCAAAGUAAUGUUGCAAAGCUAAUAAUAUUCAAACUCAAAAUUGAAAAUAGAUACUGGAAAACUUUAUAUCAAUUUAGCAAUUUAUAAUAUGUAACCAUGUGUGUUCCUAAUGGAUAGUAGCAUUGUAAGUAUCAACACUUGCAAUAAUAAUCUAAACGUUAUUCCAUAUAAAUAAAAACCAAAAGUGUCAAUUCUACAUAAGAGCUACAAGUGCAAUAUUUAUGAGCAGCAUCCGCCUUGUCUAAUUGGCUGAGCUCCUGCUAACUUGGGACCUUGUUGCGCAGAGCCCCUUGUAUUCUGACUAUUCACUUGAACUCUCUUCUUGAUCUCACCAGCCAUUGUAUGGAAUGCUUGCUCAACAUUAUAAGCGUUUUUAGCAGAAGUUUCUAUAAAUUUUAUUCCAUGAGAAUCUGCAAGUUCUCUUCCCUCGUCUGAUGUUACCACUCUCUUGCUCACAAGAUCGCACUUAUUACCUACUAACAAUUUAUUAACAUUCUCCAUUGCGUAUCUAUCAAUCUCUUGGAUCCAUUGUUUAACAUUAUCAAAAGAAUCUCUAUCUGUAACAUCAUAGACAAUAAUGAUUCCAUGUGCCCCUCUAUAAUAACUAGAAGUAAUUGUUCUAAACCUUUCUUGUCCUGCAGUAUCCCAAAUCUGUAACUUUACUGUCUUAUUCUCCAAACUUAUUGUUCUUAUCUUGAAAUCAACCCCAAUUGUUGAAAUAUAACUGUCAGUAUAGGUGUCAUCAGCAAAUCGUAAGAGUAAGCAUGAUUUACCUACACCACUAUCUCCUAUUAAAAGUAGUUUGAAUAAGUAGUCGUACUCAGGAUUCAUCUGAACCUAUUAUCCUG
RNAcentral lists this non-coding RNA (1584 nucleotides) under Cryptosporidium parvum. Lineage: Eukaryota; Apicomplexa; Conoidasida; Eucoccidiorida; Cryptosporidiidae. The record is from RNAcentral.